UACAUCUUGGUGUAUGAUGCACGGUGGCUUUUGAUGCUUACUGGUGAUAGUUUAAUUCUAUUAGAUGUAA
This 70-nucleotide transfer RNA is filed under the name Euhamitermes hamatus. RNAcentral's name for it is "tRNA-Gln". Lineage: Eukaryota; Metazoa; Arthropoda; Insecta; Blattodea; Termitidae. The record is from RNAcentral.